RNAcentral lists this small RNA (161 nucleotides) under Mycoplana sp. BE70. RNAcentral's name for it is "6S / SsrS RNA". It matches the Rfam family "6S / SsrS RNA". From Rfam's summary of the family: E. coli 6S RNA was the first non coding RNA to be sequenced, but its function was unknown until recently. It consists of 184 nucleotides that fold into an extended hairpin structure with a large single-stranded internal bulge. The record is from RNAcentral. Lineage: Bacteria; Pseudomonadati; Pseudomonadota; Alphaproteobacteria; Hyphomicrobiales; Rhizobiaceae.
GGCGGUCUGCGCUUCCCGACAGGUAACCACAAUCCCCGGGGCCAUACACGAUCUCAAGGGAGCUGUCCCUGACCGGGCCCGUGGGUCCGGAUAUACGGCGCCCACCUACUUUGUAGGCACCCGGGAUCGUAAAAAAUACCAUCGGUCGUCGUGGAUCGCGC